GAUGAACGCUGGCGGCGUGCCUAAUACAUGCAAGUCGAGCGAACGGACGAGAAGCUUGCUUCUCUGAUGUUAGCGGCGGACGGGUGAGUAACACGUGGAUAACCUACCUAUAAGACUGGGAUAACUUCGGGAAACCGGAGCUAAUACCGGAUAAUAUUUUGAACCGCAUGGUUCAAAAGUGAAAGACGGUCUUGCUGUCACUUAUAGAUGGAUCCGCGCUGCAUUAGCUAGUUGGUAAGGUAACGGCUUACCAAGGCAACGAUGCAUAGCCGACCUGAGAGGGUGAUCGGCCACACUGGAACUGAGACACGGUCCAGACUCCUACGGGAGGCAGCAGUAGGGAAUCCUCCGCAAUGGGCGAAAGCCUGACGGAGCAACGCCGCGUGAGUGAUGAAGGUCUUCGGAUCGUAAAACUCUGUUAUUAGGGAAGAACAUAUGUGUAAGUAACUGCGCACAUCUUGACGGUACCUAAUCAGAAAGCCACGGCUAACUACGUG
This 497-nucleotide ribosomal RNA is filed under the name uncultured bacterium. RNAcentral's name for it is "partial 16S ribosomal RNA". It matches the Rfam family "Bacterial small subunit ribosomal RNA", at positions 28 to 507 of the family's 1533-position model. The record is from RNAcentral.